Molecule: non-coding RNA, 31 nt
Filed under: Homo sapiens (human)
Lineage: Eukaryota; Metazoa; Chordata; Mammalia; Primates; Hominidae
Source: RNAcentral
UGCCCUUUUAAUGCUUGCUCUCUUUCUGUCU